GAUGAACGCUGGCGGCGUGCUUAACACAUGCAAGUCGAACGGACUUUACAUGAAACCUAGUGAUUGUAAAGUUAGUGGCGGACGGGUGAGUAACGCGUGGGUAACCUGCCUUGUACAGGGGGACAACAGUUGGAAACGACUGCUAAUACCGCAUAAGCGCACAGAGCUGCAUGGCUCAGUGUGAAAAACUUUAGUGGUACAAGAUGGACCCGCGUCUGAUUAGCUAGUUGGUGAGGUAACGGCCCACCAAGGCGACGAUCAGUAGCCGGCCUGAGAGGGUGAACGGCCACAUUGGGACUGAGACACGGCCCAAACUCCUACGGGAGGCAGCAGUGGGGAAUAUUGCACAAUGGGGGAAACCCUGAUGCAGCGACGCCGCGUGAGUGAAGAAGUAUUUCGGUAUGUAAAGCUCUAAUCAGUCAGGGAAGAAAAUGACGGUACCUGACUAAGAAGCCCCGGCUAACUACGUG
This 470-nucleotide ribosomal RNA is filed under the name uncultured bacterium. RNAcentral describes it as "bacterial SSU rRNA". It matches the Rfam family "Bacterial small subunit ribosomal RNA", at positions 28 to 507 of the family's 1533-position model. The record is from RNAcentral.